RNAcentral lists this transfer RNA (116 nucleotides) under Lachancea sp. 'fantastica'. RNAcentral describes it as "Lachancea sp. PJ-2012a tRNA-Ser". The stretch from base 31 to 116 matches the Rfam family "tRNA". From Rfam's summary of the family: Transfer RNA (tRNA) molecules are approximately 80 nucleotides in length. The record is from RNAcentral. Lineage: Eukaryota; Fungi; Ascomycota; Saccharomycetes; Saccharomycetales; Saccharomycetaceae.
UCCCGUAGGAGAGGGGGUAAACUUAAGAUAGGAUGGUUGACUGAGUGGUUUAAGGUGUGAUAUUUGAGCUAUCAUAAGUCAUAUUGGCUUCGUAGGUUCAAAUCCUACACCAUCCG